UACGUAGGUGGCAAGCGUUGUCCGGAUUUAUUGGGCUUAAAGGGUGCGUAGGUGGUCUAUUAAGUCAGUGCUGAAAUAUCCCGGCUUAACCGGGAGGGUGGCAUUGAUACUGAUGGACUUGAGUAAAGUUGAGGUGGGCGGAAUUGACGGUGUAGCGGUGAAAUGCUUAGAUAUCGUCAAGAACACCUAUUGCGAAGGCAGCUCACUAAGCUUUAACUGACACUGAGGCACGAAAGUGUGGGGAUCAAACAGG
This 253-nucleotide ribosomal RNA is filed under the name uncultured bacterium. Its description in RNAcentral is "partial 16S ribosomal RNA". It matches the Rfam family "Bacterial small subunit ribosomal RNA", at positions 524 to 776 of the family's 1533-position model. The record is from RNAcentral.